RNAcentral lists this microRNA (21 nucleotides) under Paeonia lactiflora (Chinese peony). RNAcentral describes it as "pla-miR11605". Lineage: Eukaryota; Viridiplantae; Streptophyta; Magnoliopsida; Saxifragales; Paeoniaceae. The record is from miRBase by way of RNAcentral.
UUGAGGCGGCAUAUUCUCAAU